UACGGAGGGUGCAAGCGUUGUUCGGAAUCACUGGGCGUAAAGGGCGUGUAGGCGGUCCGCUAAGUCUGAUGUGAAAGCCCGGGGCUCACCCCCGGAAGGGCAUUGGAAACUGGCGGACUCGAGUCCCGGAGAGGAGGGUGGAAUUCCCGGUGUAGCAGUGAAAUGCGUAGAUAUCGUGAGGAAGACCAGUGGCGAAGGCGGAUCUCUGGACAGCUCCUGACGCUGAGGCGCGAAGGCUAGGGGAGCAAACGGG
RNAcentral lists this ribosomal RNA (253 nucleotides) under uncultured bacterium. RNAcentral's name for it is "partial 16S ribosomal RNA". It matches the Rfam family "Bacterial small subunit ribosomal RNA", at positions 524 to 776 of the family's 1533-position model. The record is from RNAcentral.